CAGUAAGUAUCCCGCUGGGGAGUACGGCCGCAAGGCUAAAGCUCAAAGGAAUUGACGGGGGCCCGCACAAGCAGCGGAGCGUGUGGUUUAAUUCGACGCAACGCGCAACACCUUACCAAGGUUUGACAUCCUCGGAAUCCUGCUGAAAGGUGGGAGUGCCCGCAAGGGAGCCGGGAGACAGGUGCUGCAUGGCUGUCAUCAGCUCGUGUCGUGAGAUGUUGGGUUAAGUCCCGCAACGAGCGCAACCCCUGUGGCUAGUUACCUGGGUGUCUAGCCAGACUGCCGGACCAAACCGGAGGAAGGUGGGGAUGACGUCAAGUCAGCAUGGCCCUUACGCCUUGGGCGACACACACGCUACAAUGGCCGGGACAAUGGGUAGCCAAGCGGUAACGCGGAGCCAAUCCCCCAAACCCGGUCUCAGUUCAGAUCGAGGGCUGCAACUCGCCCUCGUGAAGGCGGAGUUGCUAGUAACCGCAGGUCAGCAGUACCGCGGUGAAUACGUUCCCGGG
RNAcentral lists this ribosomal RNA (509 nucleotides) under uncultured bacterium. Its description in RNAcentral is "bacterial SSU rRNA". It matches the Rfam family "Bacterial small subunit ribosomal RNA", at positions 858 to 1378 of the family's 1533-position model. The record is from RNAcentral.